Long non-coding RNA from Hippocampus zosterae (dwarf seahorse), 1692 nucleotides. RefSeq lists it as uncharacterized. Lineage: Eukaryota; Metazoa; Chordata; Actinopteri; Syngnathiformes; Syngnathidae. The transcript is spliced from 3 exons. The record is from RefSeq and is a predicted model, not a curated record.
AGUUUGACUUCUUAUUGUGGCAAAAAAAUACAUGUGUAAGCUUAUGUUAUUAUUAAUUAUUGUCAUUUUAUGUUUGAGCAUCAUAUUAUUUCAUGUUAAGAAUACCUAAAUUAUAUUCUGUUGUUUAAUAAUUGCUUAGACAUGUUUUUUAUGUUGAUUGGCCGUUGAAGAGAAGCAGGAAGUGAUUUUAGUUUUGAUUUAUGUUGAUAGGUUCUGAUUGGCUGUUGAAGAGAAGCAGGAAGUGAUUUUAGGUUACGAGGAGAGUUGUGUUCUCGAACGUGCUGCUGUGCAGACGUCUUUUUUCCCCCUUUAAAUCAAACGGUAUUUAAAGGUUUCCAUCUCUCCUUUUGCCGUUCGUAAAGUAGAGCUAGCCACUAAAAACAACGACCCCUCAAUUUACAAAUGCAUCUCUAAAACUUUGUUUUGUAGAAAAACACAUGCGAUUGCAUUUCCCAAAAAAUGUGAAGCUCAGCUAAUUAAAAAAAAACAAUUUCAACAUCCAAUUAGAGCUCAAAAGGCAAAUUUGCUUCAUUAUGCGCCAAUCUUCAAAAAAUCUUUUUUCCAGCAAUACACGUUUCGUGAAGACUGACCCAAUUGUUUCGGAGAUAUAAGGAAGGUGGCCACGCCCCACUUUAACCCAAAAACGUCAACAUUCGGUGGACUGUAGCUGAGGAAUUAAUCUACCUGCGAGGGGAUGUUCCUCCUCUGGCCCGAGGUAUUCCACACUGCUGACAGUGAGGUUUGAGUUCAAAGGUCCCCCGAAACCGCCAAGCAGGAGUGUUCCGUCUGAACAGCAACCCUGGCUGGAGCAGUUUGGGUUGUGGUAGAGAAGGCCACUGGAUAAUGCUACAUCUGUUCACGGAGACAAGUGGGAACCGGAGGGCUUGAAGAUGCGGCCCAGUGUGGCCAGCUUGCUGUUCCGUCUGAUGGGGGGAGUGUGGACGCCGCUCACGAGGCAGCCUGUCCUGAGCACCAUCUGCUGGUCCAACACAUCUGCUGAUCACAAGAAGUGUGCAAAGAAAUUCAAGACCGAAGAUGCUGAGUGAGCUACCACACCCCGCUGAAACAGCUCGUCAGCACCUUUGAGAGAAUUCGACCCUCUUGCGUGUAAGCAUCCAGACGGUGAGGCAAGCGACAGCAAUCUAUUUGACUGUAUUUGGCUGCUGUGGUGUCUGGUCGAGAUGGAGUCAUUCAUCGCUUUCAUCUGUACUUUAGUGUCAGUAAACCUCUCGUUCGAACUUGUCCCUCACACUUGUGAGGACCGCACGGGUUCACAAGUCCUCUUGAAAAAGCACUGAGCCAAGUGAAGCGGAAAUCAUGUUGUUUACGAAAUAUGCUCCUCACCUGGAAGUGGAGACUGGUCUGAUGUAGACCCUUUUCGCUGAUGUAAUUUUAACCACAAUAGUUAGUUUCCGGCGCUAUAUUCGAGGACCAGCACAUAAAACGGGAAAAGGAUUCUCGGUCGAUUUACGUUGAGUUUCCAAUAUUCAUUCAUUCAUUCAUCUUCCGAGCCGCUUGAUCCUCACUAGGGUCGCGGUGGGUGCCGGAGCCUAUCCCAACCGUCUUUGGGCAGUAGGCGGGGGCCACCCUGAAUCGGUUGCCAGCCAAUCGCAGGGCACACAGAAACGAACAACCAUUCGCACUCACACUCACACCUAGGGACAAUUUGGAGUGUUCAAUCAGCCUGCCAUG